This 216-nucleotide ribosomal RNA is filed under the name uncultured fungus. RNAcentral's name for it is "partial small subunit ribosomal RNA". The stretch from base 39 to 216 matches the Rfam family "Eukaryotic small subunit ribosomal RNA", at positions 685 to 864 of the family's 1831-position model. The record is from RNAcentral. Lineage: Eukaryota; Fungi.
GGAUCAGUGGGUCGGUCGUGCCACUGGUAUGCACUGGCUUUGCUGAUUCCUCCUUCUUGUAGAACCGUAAUGCCAUUUAGUUGGUGUUGCGGGGAAACAGGACUGUUACUUUGAAAAAAUUAGAGUGUUUAAAGCAGGCUAACGCCUGAAUACAUUAGCAUGGAAUAAUGAAAUAGGACGUUCGAUCCUAUUUUGUUGGUUUCUAGGAUUGACGUA